CUCUGGUGAUGAGGUGUGAGAAGUGAGUGAGAAGCGACAAUCUUUGGCUCUGGUGAUGAGGUGUGAGAAGUGAGUGAGAAGUGACAAUCUUUGGCUCUGGUGAUGAGGUGUGAGAAGUGAGUGAGAAGUGACAAUCUUUGGCUCUGGUGAUGAGGUGUGAGAAGUGAGUGAGAAGUGACAAUCUUUGGCUCUGGUGAUGAGGUGUGAGAAGUGAGUGAGAAGUGACAAUCUUUGGCUCUGGUGAUGAGGUGUGAGAAGUGAGUGAGAAGUGACAAUCUUUGGCUCUGGUGAUGAGGUGUGAGAAGUGAGUGAGAAGUGACAAUCUUUGGCUCUGGUGAUGAGGUGUGAGAAGUGAGUGAGAAGUGACAAUCUUUGGCUCUGGUGAUGAGGUGUGAGAAGUGAGUGAGAAGCGACAAUCUUUGGCUCUGGUGAUGAAGUGUGAGAAGUGAAGAAAAACAAGUCUGCGUCUGUCUGUAGUGAUGGCUUCAUAGACUUGAGUUGCCGAAAUAUCCUACCCCCGUUACGCCCUAGGAGGUGCAUGGCCGACCGCUUAGUCACUCCUGUUCCCUGCCAGCCAAGGCGAAUUUGUGUGUCACGCCGAGCACCUGUUUCCUUUGUAAGACGAUCCCGGUGAGCACCGAGCCAGAAUGGAUGGACUCAGCUUAGCCAUCUGACAAACAGGGAACGUCCAUUACGCCUCGUAAAUAUCUGACGGCCUCGCGCGAUUACCGUGUGUGUAUACUUGUUGGGCAAGCGUAACACACACACACACACACACACACACACACACACACACACACACACACACACA
Eriocheir sinensis (Chinese mitten crab) is the source of this 811-nucleotide long non-coding RNA. RefSeq lists it as uncharacterized. The transcript has 3 exons. The record is from RefSeq and is a predicted model, not a curated record. NCBI's taxonomy places the organism in Eukaryota, Metazoa, Arthropoda, Malacostraca, Decapoda, Varunidae.